GGUAACAGGAAGAAGCUUGCUUCUUUGCUGACGAGUGGCGGACGGGUGAGUAAUGUCUGGGAAACUGCCUGAUGGAGGGGGAUAACUACUGGAAAUGGUAGCUAAUACCGCAUAACGUCGCAAGACCAAAGAGGGGGACCUUCGGGCCUCUUGCCAUCGGAUGUGCCCAGAUGGGAUUAGCUAGUAGGUGGGGUAACGGCUCACCUAGGCGACGAUCCCUAGCUGGUCUGAGAGGAUGACCAGCCACACUGGAACUGAGACACGGUCCAGACUCCUACGGGAGGCAGCAGUGGGGAAUAUUGCACAAUGGGCGCAAGCCUGAUGCAGCCAUGCCGCGUGUAUGAAGAAGGCCUUCGGGUUGUAAAGUACUUUCAGCGGGGAGGAAGGGAGUAAAGUUAAUACCUUUGCUCAUUGACGUUACCCGCAGAAGAAGCACCGGCUAACUCCGUGCCAGCAGCCGCGGUAAUACGGAGGGUGCAAGCGUUAAUCGGAAUUACUGGGCGUAAAGCGCACGCAGGCGGUUUGUUAAGUCAGAUGUGAAAUCCCCGGGCUCAACCUGGGAACUGCAUCUGAUACUGGCAAGCUUGAGUCUCGUAGAGGGGGGUAGAAUUCCAGGUGUAGCGGUGAAAUGCGUAGAGAUCUGGAGGAAUACCGGUGGCGAAGGCGGCCACACUGGACGAAGACUGACGCUCAGGUGCGAAAGCGUGGG
Molecule: ribosomal RNA, 709 nt
Filed under: uncultured Enterobacterales bacterium
Lineage: Bacteria; Pseudomonadati; Pseudomonadota; Gammaproteobacteria; Enterobacterales
Description: bacterial SSU rRNA
Rfam family: Bacterial small subunit ribosomal RNA
Source: RNAcentral